Molecule: non-coding RNA, 115 nt
Filed under: Kocuria marina
Lineage: Bacteria; Bacillati; Actinomycetota; Actinomycetes; Micrococcales; Micrococcaceae
Description: SAM-IV sequence
Rfam family: SAM (S-adenosyl methionine) riboswitch aptamer
About the family: SAM-IV is a mRNA element that regulates gene expression via direct sensing of S-adenosylmethionine (SAM or AdoMet). SAM-IV riboswitches share conserved nucleotide positions with the previously described SAM-I riboswitches sequence analysis and molecular recognition experiments suggest that SAM-I and SAM-IV riboswitches share similar ligand binding sites, but have different scaffolds.
Source: RNAcentral
GAUCACGAGUGCCGACGUUUAGCCCUGGCUUGUCGGACGGCAACCCUCUCCCGUAGCGGGGUGCCCCAGGUGAGGAUCGGGCCGCAUGACACACCGCAUGCGGCAAGUACGGCGC